Molecule: transfer RNA, 72 nt
Filed under: Ktedonobacterales bacterium
Lineage: Bacteria; Bacillati; Chloroflexota; Ktedonobacteria; Ktedonobacterales
Also listed under: 1 other name
Description: tRNA-Thr
Rfam family: tRNA
About the family: Transfer RNA (tRNA) molecules are approximately 80 nucleotides in length. Their secondary structure includes four short double-helical elements and three loops (D, anti-codon, and T loops).
Source: RNAcentral
GCCGGUGUAGCUCAGCGGCAGAGCGCCCGCCUUGUAAGCGGGGGGUCAACGGUUCAAUCCCGUUCACCGGCU